This 440-nucleotide ribosomal RNA is filed under the name uncultured bacterium. RNAcentral's name for it is "bacterial SSU rRNA". It matches the Rfam family "Bacterial small subunit ribosomal RNA", at positions 355 to 787 of the family's 1533-position model. The record is from RNAcentral.
UGGGGAAUCUUGCGCAAUGGCCGAAAGGCUGACGCAGCGACGCCGCGUGCGGGAGGAAGCCCUUCGGGGUGUAAACCGCUGUCAGGGGGGAAGAAACCCAAGGGUUCGAACAGGGCCUUUGGCUGACGGUACCCCAGAGGAAGCGCCGGCUAACUACGUGCCAGCAGCCGCGGUAAUACGUAGGGUGCAAGCGUUAAUCGGAAUUACUGGGCGUAAAGCGUGCGUAGGCGGUUCGGAAAGAAAGAUGUGAAAUCCCAGGGCUCAACCUUGGAACUGCAUUUUUAACUACCGGGCUAGAGUGUGUCAGAGGGGGUGGAAUUCCGCGUGUAGCGGUGAAAUGCGCAGAUAUCAGGAGGAACACCGGUGGCGAAGGCGGCUUGCUGGGCCUGUCCUGACGCUGAGGAGCGAAAAGCGUGGGGAGCGAACAGGAUUAGAUACCC